UAAUGCAGCGGCACCUAAUGGUGACAGUUGUUAAAGCGGGGGAUCGAAGGACCUCGCGUCUGAAGAGGAGCCUGCGGCGGAUUAGCUAGUUGGUAGGGUAAUGGCCUACCAAGGCAACGAUCCGUAGCCGGCCUGAGAGGGCGGUCGGCCACACUGACACUGACAUACGGGUCAGACUCCUACGGGAGGCAGCAGUCGGGAAUUUUGGGCAAUGGGCGAAAGCCUGACCCAGCAACGCCGCGUGAAGGAUGAAAUCCCUCGGGAUGUAAACUUCGCAAGAACGGGAAGAAUAAGUAGGGGACAAUACCCCCUAUGAUGACGGUACCGUUUGUAAGCUCCGGCUAACUCCGUGCCAGCAGCCGCGGUAAUACGGGGGGAGCAAGCGUUGUUCGGAUUUACUGGGCGUAAAGGGCGCGUAGGCGGCCAGUGCAAGUCAGUUGUGAAAUCUCCGAGCUUAACUCGGAAAGGUCAACUGAUACUGCUCGGCUAGAGUGCGGAAGGGGCAACUGGAAUUCUUGGUGUAGCGGUGAAAUGCGUAGAUAUCAAGAGGAACACCUGCGGCGAAGGCGGGUUGCUGGGCCGACACUGACGCUGAGGCGCGAAAGCUAGGGGAGCGAACGGGAUUAGAUACCCCGGUAGUCCUAGCCUUAAACGAUGAAUGCUUGGUGUCUGGGGUUAUAUAGUCCCCGGGUGCCGUCGCUAACGCUUUAAGCAUUCCGCCUGGGGAGUACGGUCGCAAGACUGAAACUCAAAGGAAUUGACGGAAUCGAAUU
Molecule: ribosomal RNA, 773 nt
Filed under: uncultured bacterium
Lineage: Bacteria
Description: bacterial SSU rRNA
Rfam family: Bacterial small subunit ribosomal RNA
Source: RNAcentral